AAGUAUGUAGACGUGUUUUUCUGAUUUCUGAUUCUAAUAUAUUUAUCUAUUUGUAUCGUGUUUAAUAUUGUGAAAAUAAAUAAAAUUAACUUCAAACUUCAAUGAUUUCGAAGUUUUCACUUAAAUGGUUUCAAGUUAGGAGAUAUCAUGCGGGUUUCCGGGUGAAGUUUAUGGAAGCCAAAAUCAAGGGAAGAAGGUGCGAAUAUGGACUACUUUUAUUUCUACAUUAAAAAUGUAAAAAUCCCAUGAACAAAAGUUGAAAAUGGUAGCACAUAAAUCUAAGAUAAUGUAUCAGUGACUGUUUAAGGUAAAAAUUCAACCAGUUUGACGCAAUGCUAAUUUUACAAAAAGUUAUUAAAAACGUGGUUUGGGAAGAUGGGGUGGUAGUAUGGAUCAGAGUUGAAAAGGUAAGAAAGAAGUAAUGUAUCGUCGAAAUCUCCCCAACAUGGAGAAAUCCCGUAGUUCAAAUAAAUAACUGAUAUUAUUAUAAA
Non-coding RNA from Osmia lignaria (orchard mason bee), 491 nucleotides. Lineage: Eukaryota; Metazoa; Arthropoda; Insecta; Hymenoptera; Megachilidae. The record is from RefSeq and is a predicted model, not a curated record.